Molecule: long non-coding RNA, 648 nt
Filed under: Oreochromis niloticus (Nile tilapia)
Lineage: Eukaryota; Metazoa; Chordata; Actinopteri; Cichliformes; Cichlidae
Description: lncRNA (ENSONIG00000027985.1)
Source: RNAcentral
GACUUUUUCCACCACGGGCCCUGGGGGUCCAUCUUUUAGCUGGCACAUCCUGUACCCUCCUCCGCCUGGGCGGUGUGGCUGCUGACAGCAUCUCCAGACAAAGGGCAGAUCCAUCCAGCUUCAGUAGCCUCCGGUUAAGUGAGCUCUGCAGCUUCAACAAUGGAGGUGGCGACUUGUAACAACAGAGGGAUGGUGGGCAGCAGUAAGCCAGAGAACACGUCUUCUGACCGGGAUACUAAGUCGGCCCUGCCCGGGCGCCCGCUGUCAGACCGCUCCGAGAUGCUGCACAGCCAGACUGACUCCUUCCUCAUGGCAGCCCGACUCGUCCGCAGGGGAUGGCCCAAUGAAGGGAACAAAACAAACAGGCAGUUAUCACAAUCUGAUGGUUCAGCACGUCAACCCAUUUUCACCAGAAGAGGUUGGACUCUUGAUAUGAGCAGUGGGAAGACAUCCCUGGAUGGAAAGACAGGCUUUGAAAAAGAUGAUAAAGCCAAAGAGACAUCGGAAGGUGCAGCCUCACCAAACAGACCAGCAGAAAGACAGACAGGUGUAGUCUAUGUGUGGAAGUCUGGCUGUCGUGCCACAAGCAGUCAGACCAGAAGAUUUAAGGCCCCGGUGCUACCAGCCAUUGCUGAAAUUGAAGUUUAA